RNAcentral lists this ribosomal RNA (252 nucleotides) under uncultured bacterium. RNAcentral describes it as "partial 16S ribosomal RNA". It matches the Rfam family "Bacterial small subunit ribosomal RNA", at positions 524 to 776 of the family's 1533-position model. The record is from RNAcentral.
UACGUAGGGGCUAGCGUUGUCCGGAAUCAUUGGGCGUAAAGGGCGCGUAGGCGGCGUGGUAAGUCAGUUGUGAAAUCUCCGAGCUUAACUCGGAACGGCCAACUGAUACUGCUGUGCUAGAGUGCAGAAGGGGCAAUCAGAAUUCUUGGUGUAGCGGUGAAAUGCGUAGAUAUCAAGAGGAAUACCUGAGGUGAAGACGGGUUGCUAGGCUGACACUGACGCUGAGGCGCGAAAGCCAGGGGAGCAAACGGG